RNAcentral lists this ribosomal RNA (412 nucleotides) under Streptococcus anginosus. Its description in RNAcentral is "bacterial SSU rRNA". It matches the Rfam family "Bacterial small subunit ribosomal RNA", at positions 28 to 423 of the family's 1533-position model. Lineage: Bacteria; Bacillati; Bacillota; Bacilli; Lactobacillales; Streptococcaceae. The record is from RNAcentral.
GACGAACGCGGCGGCGUGCCUAAUACAUGCAAGUAGGACGCACAGUUUAUACCGUAGCUUGCUACACCAUAGACUGUGAGUUGCGAACGGGUGAGUAACGCGUAGGUAACCUGCCUAUUAGAGGGGGAUAACUAUUGGAAACGAUAGCUAAUACCGCAUAACAGUAUGUAACACAUGUUAGAUGCUUGAAAGAUGCAAUUGCAUCGCUAGUAGAUGGACCUGCGUUGUAUUAGCUAGUAGGUAGGGUAAUGGCCUACCUAGGCGACGAUACAUAGCCGACCUGAGAGGGUGAUCGGCCACACUGGGACUGAGACACGGCCCAGACUCCUACGGGAGGCAGCAGUAGGGAAUCUUCGGCAAUGGGGGGAACCCUGACCGAGCAACGCCGCGUGAGUGAAGAAGGUUUUCGGAU